This 433-nucleotide ribosomal RNA is filed under the name uncultured Anaerotruncus sp. RNAcentral describes it as "bacterial SSU rRNA". It matches the Rfam family "Bacterial small subunit ribosomal RNA", at positions 341 to 792 of the family's 1533-position model. Lineage: Bacteria; Bacillati; Bacillota; Clostridia; Eubacteriales; Oscillospiraceae. The record is from RNAcentral.
ACGGGAGGCAGCAGUGGGGGAUAUUGCACAAUGGAGGAAACUCUGAUGCAGCGACGCCGCGUGAGGGAAGACGGUCUUCGGAUUGUAAACCUCUGUCUUAGGGGAAGAAGAUGACGGUACCCUAAGAGGAAGCUCCGGCUAACUACGUGCCAGCAGCCGCGGUAAUACGUAGGGAGCGAGCGUUGUCCGGAAUUACUGGGUGUAAAGGGAGCGUAGGCGGGAUGGCAAGUAGAAUGUGAAAACAGCCGGCUCAACUGGUUGUUGCGUUCUAAACUGCCGUUCUUGAGUGAAGUAGAGGCAGGCGGAAUUCCUAGUGUAGCGGUGAAAUGCGUAGAUAUUAGGAGGAACACCAGUGGCGAAGGCGGCCUGCUGGGCUUUAACUGACGCUGAGGCUCGAAAGCGUGGGGAGCAAACAGGAUUAGAUACCCUGGUA